ACGGAGGGUGCAAGCGUUAUCCGGAUUUACUGGGUUUAAAGGGUGCGCAGGCGGUAAUUUAAGUCAGUGGUGAAAGCCUACAGCUCAACUGUAGAACUGCCAUUGAUACUGGAUUACUUGAGUGUGGUAGAGGUAGGCGGAAUGAGUCAUGUAGCGGUGAAAUGCAUAGAUAUGACUCAGAACACCGAUUGCGAAGGCAGCUUACUAAACCAUUACUGACGCUCAUGCACGAAAGCGUGGGGAGCGAACAGG
RNAcentral lists this ribosomal RNA (252 nucleotides) under uncultured bacterium. Its description in RNAcentral is "partial 16S ribosomal RNA". It matches the Rfam family "Bacterial small subunit ribosomal RNA", at positions 525 to 776 of the family's 1533-position model. The record is from RNAcentral.